CUACUGCAUAAUCCUUGGUUAAGAGGCACACUUAGGUAUCAAGACCCAAUUGAAUACAACACUAUGUACUGUCUCCUCUUUCACUUUAUUUGCCUGGUGUAUUCAUGAAUCUUGCCCGGAGCAGAAGAGUUCAGAAAAUUGUUAUGCAGGUCUGCUAAGAGAAAGCAUUUACUGUUUGAUGUGCACGGAGUAACGGAAGGCUUUUUAAAAUAAAAUAUGCCACGAAGUAGUCAAGUGUCACGACAGAGCUAACCCCGUGGGAGUCAUGAGGAGACUAAAAUUAUCUCCAGUUGUGCAGGUGCCAGGAGCCAGACUCAGCCUACAGGUCACUUCUGCUCAUCUGGAGGUGAAACCAUGUGUCAUGACUAGUCAAAUCCUGUCUUCACUCAUCAAGAUACCCCAAGCCCCUCACCUUUGGGGAGGCGGAUUUGAGACCUAUUCUCACGUCACUUCCUCGCUUGGCUGCCU
Non-coding RNA from Kogia breviceps (pygmy sperm whale), 468 nucleotides. NCBI's taxonomy places the organism in Eukaryota, Metazoa, Chordata, Mammalia, Artiodactyla, Physeteridae. The record is from RefSeq and is a predicted model, not a curated record.